AUACGGAAGGUCCGGGCGUUAUCCGGAUUUAUUGGGUUUAAAGGGAGCGCAGGCGGAGAUGCAAGCGUGACGUCAAAUUUCGGGGCUCAACCCCGUCUCGCGUCGCGAACUGCGUCCCUUGGUUGCGGGAAGAGGAGGCGGAACUCGUGGUGUAGCGGUGAAAUGCAUAGAUAUCACGAAGAACUCCGAUCGCGAAGGCAGCCUUCCGGCCCGUCAACGACGCUCAUGCUCGAAGGUGCGGGUAUCAAACAGGAUUAGAUACCCUGGUAGUCCGCACAGUAAACGAUGGACACCCGCGGUUUGGCCUGUAUGGCUGAGCCGCCAAGCGAAAGCGUUAAGUGUCCCACCUGGGGAGUACGCCGGCAACGGUGAAACUCAAAGGAAUUGACGGGG
This 393-nucleotide ribosomal RNA is filed under the name uncultured bacterium. RNAcentral's name for it is "partial 16S ribosomal RNA". It matches the Rfam family "Bacterial small subunit ribosomal RNA", at positions 523 to 918 of the family's 1533-position model. The record is from RNAcentral.